CCUACGGGUGGCAGCAGUGGGGAAUAUUGCACAAUGGGGGAAACCCUGAUGCAGCGACGCCGCGUGAGGGAAGAAGGAUUUCGGUAUGUAAAGCUCUAUCAGCAGGGAAGAAAAUGACGGUACGUGAUUAAGAAGCCCAGGCUAAAUACGUGCCAGCAGCCGCGGGAAUACGUAGGGGGCAAGCGUUAUCCGGAUUUACUGGGUGUAAAGGGAGCGUAGACGGUGAUGCAAGUCAGAAGUGAAAGCCCGGGGCUCAACUCCGGGACUGCUGUUGAAACUGGGUGACUGGAGUGCAGGAGAGGUAAGCGGAAUUCCGGGUGUAGCGGUGAAAUGCGUAGAUAUCCGGAGGAACACCGGUGGCGAAGGCGGCUUACUGGACUGUAACUGACGUUGAGGCUCGAAAGCGUGGGGAGCAAACAGGAUUAGAUACCCGGGUAGUC
Molecule: ribosomal RNA, 440 nt
Filed under: uncultured bacterium
Lineage: Bacteria
Description: partial 16S ribosomal RNA
Rfam family: Bacterial small subunit ribosomal RNA
Source: RNAcentral